RNAcentral lists this ribosomal RNA (253 nucleotides) under uncultured bacterium. RNAcentral describes it as "partial 16S ribosomal RNA". It matches the Rfam family "Bacterial small subunit ribosomal RNA", at positions 524 to 776 of the family's 1533-position model. The record is from RNAcentral.
UACGUAGGGUGCAAGCGUUAAUCGGAAUUACUGGGCGUAAAGCGUGCGCAGGCGGUUUUGUAAGUCUGUCGUGAAAGCCCCGGGCUUAACCUGGGAAUUGCGAUGGAGACUGCAAGGCUUGAAUCUGGCAGAGGGGGGUAGAAUUCCACGUGUAGCAGUGAAAUGCGUAGAGAUGUGGAGGAACACCGAUGGCGAAGGCAGCCCCCUGGGUCGAUACUGACGCUCAUGCACGAAAGCGUGGGGAGCAAACAGG